AUUCAGAUGAAGAGUCUCAAAUUGGGCAAAAUGUACAUCCUGGAU
This 45-nucleotide non-coding RNA is filed under the name Trichobilharzia regenti. The record is from RNAcentral. Lineage: Eukaryota; Metazoa; Platyhelminthes; Trematoda; Strigeidida; Schistosomatidae.